GAUGAACGCCGGCGGCGUGCCUAAUACAUGCAAGUCGAGCGAACGGACGAGAAGCUUGCUUCUCUGAUGUUAGCGGCGGACGGGUGAGUAACACGUGGAUAACCUACCUAUAAGACUGGGAUAACUUCGGGAAACCGGAGCUAAUACCGGAUAAUAUUUUGAACCGCAUGGUUCAAAAGUGAAAGACGGUCUUGCUGUCACUUAUAGAUGGAUCCGCGCUGCAUUAGCUAGUUGGUAAGGUAACGGCUUACCAAGGCAACGAUGCAUAGCCGACCUGAGAGGGUGAUCGGCCACACUGGAACUGAGACACGGUCCAGACUCCUACGGGAGGCAGCAGUAGGGAAUCUACCGCAAUGGGCGAAAGCCUGACGGAGCAACGCCGCGUGAGUGAUGAAGGUCUUCGGAUCGUAAAACUCUGUUAUUAGGGAAGAACAUAUGUGUAAGUAACUGUGCACAUCUUGACGGUACCUAAUCAGGAAGCCACGGCUAACUACGUG
This 497-nucleotide ribosomal RNA is filed under the name uncultured bacterium. RNAcentral describes it as "partial 16S ribosomal RNA". It matches the Rfam family "Bacterial small subunit ribosomal RNA", at positions 28 to 507 of the family's 1533-position model. The record is from RNAcentral.